RNAcentral lists this transfer-messenger RNA (395 nucleotides) under chicken gut metagenome. It matches the Rfam family "transfer-messenger RNA". Rfam says of the family: Bacterial tmRNA, also known as 10Sa RNA or SsrA, is named for its dual tRNA and mRNA-like properties. The record is from RNAcentral.
GGGGACGUUUUGGAUUUGACAGGAUGUUUCGGUUGGAGCAGGCUGCGUGUCCGUGCGCUGUUCACGGUUAUCAACGAGCAAACUAAAUUAAAUGCUAAAAAUAAUGUAAUCGAAGCUAACUUCGCUCCUGCAUAUGCAGUAGCUGCUUAGUUUCUAACUAGCUACUCAUAAGGCCCAGCUUGCCGGUUUUAUGGGUCCAUUAUGCAAGCGCAGUGCAUUGAUGAUGGUAGGUGCAUCCAGUUAACCAUCAAGGGUUUAGAGUUUCCCUAUCAAAAACCUAGGGUUAGUUUAAGGGUUUUGGAAUUUUCCUGAGCUAAUCGAGAGAAUAAAUUCCUACACACGUAGAUGUCGGUUACAAUCCAUUUUGGACAGGGGUUCGACUCCCCUCGUCUCCA